UGUCCUUGGUGUAUGAUGAUGGUUUG
RNAcentral lists this non-coding RNA (26 nucleotides) under Rattus norvegicus (Norway rat). The record is from RNAcentral. Lineage: Eukaryota; Metazoa; Chordata; Mammalia; Rodentia; Muridae.